GCUUGCGUGCGCCCAUUAUACCGUUCCCCCGCCUUCCCCUCCCUCUCUCUCUCAAGCACACAGAGAGAGACACAGGAACAAGAGCCUGCGCUGCGUAGGCGCGUUGUGCCGGGAGCUCUUGCACAAUUUUUGGGUUAGUCUCUUCGUGUGUGUGUGUGUGUGUGUGUGGUUUGGCUCACAGUUCCCACAUGAAUGCAGCGCACAGCAGUCGUGCAGUGCUGCUGUGGCGCUCAUGUCGCUGAAGCUCGCCGUUCUCGCCUCCUUUGGUGCGCACAGCGGGCAGCGUUGGAGCACAGGCGUCGGCAGGCGGUGGAGUGGUCCUGUACGCCCUGCGCUAAAAAUCUGUCUCGGUCAGUCCUGCCAUGCCGACGGCAUGGCACCAAGAAUGUGACUAGCGGCGUAUCGAAUUGGGCCAUGAACUUGAAGCUAUCGAUAUCCGCGAUCACCGCUUCGACUCGCCGCUAUUCCUCUGGGCUGCACGAUGGAGAGGGGUGGCGGCGUGGUAGCGGCGGCGGCAGUGGCCACGCUGACCGCAUCCUCGGCGACGUGGCAGAGCGACUAUCCGACAGGCAGGAUGAGAGGGAAGCCGCAGAGGAAGACGACGCGGCGGCAUGGGGCAGCGUAAAAUUUCUUCCUUUCCAGGACGCGGGAUGGGAUGCGCCACCUUCGUCAUCGAGCGCCUUCUCGGCCACGGCAUCGCCUGACCCGCUGCCGCCGCAGUCGGACCCUACCGCAGUAAGCGAGCGCGCUGCUCUCGAUCAGCGACGCCGGCUCUUCGCACAAUGCACCGAACUGGCUGACGUCGUGCAAGAGGAGCUGCGCGCCGAGGUGGCGCGGGACAUGAAGGACGGCGUGGCGGCCGUGCCACCGCUUGCGCCGAGUGGGUGGCGCGUUUUGCACACAACCGGCUCGAGCUACUUUACCAUGUCGCGCCUGAAGAAGGGCUGCUACGUGGACAGCCGAGCCCUCGGCAGGAGGGCGAACGAUAAUGGCGACUCACCGCUGCCCGCGUCAGACAUGGUACCGCGGUACCGCAGCGUACACGAUCUCGUCACAGGCGGUGGACGUCCACCGCGCUCCGCCAAACGUGACGACGCCGCAGCGGAGAGGGAGAUGUGGGUGUUGCGCCGGGGCCGCUACACGGCAGCGCAGGACGGACAAGCUGCGCCGCAGCGGAAUAGCCCGGCGGGGGAUGAGGGUGACUGUCGUCAGCACGGCGGCAGUCGCCGCAGAGAUGCCGUGCGCUACGCCCGCUCCGACAUGCACAUCACCCUCUUCGCUCCGUUCCGCAGCCUCGAUUUGACGCUGUACAACCCACGCGUCGGCAUCUGCGAGUGGACGCGGUUCGACGUUUUGAUCCGCAAAGAGCGACCGAAAGCCGCGGCGGCGGCGGCGGCGUCACGUUCGUCGCCGCUGCUGGCGACGACGCUGGAAGGACAGCAGGAGGUGUGGGACGAAGGACGCUGCAUGUUUUUGCGCCUUGCGUAUGUGAAUGGCGAGCUGCGCGUGCGCUCAUUGCAGUUUGUGUCGCACAAGCUGGCGCGUGCACUGGAGGAGCACGCCGUCUUCGGCAAAGGCGAGCCGCUCUAUCUGGAGAUGCUGCGCCGCCUGCCCAUGGACGUUUCUUUCCACAAGCCAUCGCAGCGGCGGGGCAGUAGCUCUUUGGAGAGGAAGGCCCAACCGUCCACGGUGAGUGCCGCCUCGCCAGUGAACGUCUUUGACGCCCCGGAGCCGACCCCGGCCACGCCAGCGGCCGCGGCUCCACGGACGGUGUCGUCCUUCAACUCAGCCCGCGUGCUGACCUCGCAGUUCGAUCGCAGCGGCGAGUACGCACGGACGUUUGCCUACGCCGGCCCCUACAUCACGGAGCUGUCCAAGGAACUGCGCGAGGCGCUGAGCGAGUACAUCAUGAUGGACGUCGGCAUCACCAACGAAGUGGCCGAGUACGUGUGUCAGAUGCAGUUCUUUUUGGAGCAGGAGGAGUACGUUGGCUGGCUGGCGCAGUGGAUGCAGCUUGCCGCAACGCUGAAGCAAACACUCUGACACGCGUGCAGCGCGAUGAAAGAGAGCAAAGGACUCCGCGUGCCCCUGCCAGCAGCGUACAGCCACGAUCGCCCAUUUCUCAUUCUGCGUAUACGUCUCUGUGUGUGUGUGUGCGACGAAGCGUGCACACACACACACACGCUAAACCAGGUAACAAGACGAAGCGAAGAAACGGAGCAGAAAAAGACAUGCCGCAGUUGCCGCUGACCAGGUGGGAGAGGGAGUGGAGGGGGCGAAACGACAAGAAUGGCUGAGGAGAAGUGUUAACAAGCAGUGAUCGAGUGUCUCCGAUGGCGCUGGAAAGGGCACGAGAAAGCGAGUUCAGACCAGCGCCGGCGGAGGAGCUGCUGCGUCCAUGCAACCGCCACCCCUUCCUUCCCUCUCCCUCUCCUCCCGCUGCUUCUCUUCGCUACACGCACGGGUGUCUGCGUGCGUGGAUGCGCGUAGCAUACACGAUGCCUUAACGCUUUCCUCGCUUCUAGCUGUACUCCCCCUCCCCGUCGCCCACCACGCCCUGCC
RNAcentral lists this unclassified non-coding RNA (2562 nucleotides) under Leishmania donovani. Its description in RNAcentral is "gene:LdHU3.13.1300(CDS-product:hypothetical_prote in_conserved)". Lineage: Eukaryota; Euglenozoa; Kinetoplastea; Trypanosomatida; Trypanosomatidae. The record is from RNAcentral.